Priapulus caudatus is the source of this 148-nucleotide long non-coding RNA. RefSeq lists it as uncharacterized. The record is from RefSeq and is a predicted model, not a curated record. NCBI's taxonomy places the organism in Eukaryota, Metazoa, Priapulida, Priapulimorpha, Priapulimorphida, Priapulidae. The transcript is spliced from 3 exons.
CGACUUCCACGCAGGCUGGGGGAAGCUGGACGCACCGCACAGAAGCUCACGCUAUACACGCUGGUGUGGAUGUUCCUCCUGCAGGCAAGAGGUAGUCAUUCUGAGCAAGGUUCUGUCAGAGCUUUCAGCGUGUAUCCUGCCGUGAACG